UACGUAGGAGGCAAGCGUUGUCCGGAGUUACUGGGCGUAAAGCGUACGCAGGCGGUCCAAUCAGUCUAUAGGGACAGGGCACAGCUUAACUGUGUCAGGCUUAUGGAAACUGUUGGACUUGAGGGCUUCAGAGGGAUGGGGAAUUCCGGGUGGAGUGGUGAAAUGCGUAGAGAUCCGGAAGAACACCAAAGGCGUAGGCACCAUCCUGGGGAGUCACUGACGCUCAUGUACGAAAGCUAGGGGAGCGAACGGG
RNAcentral lists this ribosomal RNA (253 nucleotides) under uncultured bacterium. RNAcentral's name for it is "partial 16S ribosomal RNA". It matches the Rfam family "Bacterial small subunit ribosomal RNA", at positions 524 to 776 of the family's 1533-position model. The record is from RNAcentral.